GCUGUAGUAACUGAGUGUCUCCCUCCCCUUCAGAUACAAAUAUAACUCAGACGUGUAAAAGUUAAGCAGAGUUACAAAACAAGAAAGUUUCCAGCAAGCACAUCAUGUGUUUCACAAGCAAAGAAAGAACAGUGCCCUCUUCUCUGUAGUUUUAACAUCAGAGAUUAAAGUCUUCAUCUAGCACAAACAAAUCCGAGAGCUAAUGUUUCGAAAUAUUAUCAGCGUUCUUGCUGUUGAUCACAAUGAAACCGCGAUUUUACUUGCUAUAAGUUGAUUUGACGUUGAGAUAUUAACUACAGGAGUCAGCAUAUUUAAUACGAGCAGAGACACUAUACGACUAAAUAAGGUUGGGUGAAGACGAUGUCCAGCCAGACAAAAGAAACUUCGCCCCAGGGAGGAGUGUACCACAUUCUUGAAACUACUUACCCGGAACCCUUAUCAUGGUUACACAGAUCGUCAGUAACAGAUUUCCCUCAGUGUU
Long non-coding RNA from Limulus polyphemus (Atlantic horseshoe crab), 481 nucleotides. RefSeq lists it as uncharacterized. NCBI's taxonomy places the organism in Eukaryota, Metazoa, Arthropoda, Merostomata, Xiphosura, Limulidae. The transcript has 2 exons. The record is from RefSeq and is a predicted model, not a curated record.